Pelobates cultripes (western spadefoot toad) is the source of this 292-nucleotide non-coding RNA. The record is from the annotation of a GenBank genome assembly. Lineage: Eukaryota; Metazoa; Chordata; Amphibia; Anura; Pelobatidae.
AUCUAGUAGCCGUUUGAACAUCUGUAUGGACUCUGAUAAAACCACUUCCUCAGGCAGAGAAUUCCACAUCCUGAUUGUUCUUACAGUAAAAAAACCUUUCCUUUGCCUUAGGCGAAAUCUUCUUUCUUCCAGUCUAAACUCAUGGCCUCGUGUCCUAUGUAAAGUCCGGUUUGUGAAUAAAUUUCCACACAAUGGUUUGUAUUGGCCACGAAUAUAUUUGUAUAAUGUUAUCAUAUCCCCUCUCAGGCGACGUUUUUCUAAACUAAAUAGGUUUAAAUUUGUUAACCUUUCU